UACGUAGGGUGCAAGCGUUAAUCGGAAUUACUGGGCGUAAAGCGUGCGCAGGCGGUUUUGUAAGUCUGUCGUGAAAGCCCCGGGCUCAACCUGGGAAUUGCGUUGGAGACUGCAAGGCUAGAAUCUGGCAGAGGGGGGUAGAAUUCCACGUGUAGCAGUGAAAUGCGUAGAGAUGUGGGGGAACACCGAUGGCGAAGGCAGCCCCCUGGGUCAAGCUUGACGCUCAUGCACGAAAGCGUGGGGAGCAAACAGG
RNAcentral lists this ribosomal RNA (253 nucleotides) under uncultured bacterium. Its description in RNAcentral is "partial 16S ribosomal RNA". It matches the Rfam family "Bacterial small subunit ribosomal RNA", at positions 524 to 776 of the family's 1533-position model. The record is from RNAcentral.